UUUUAAAUUUAGAGUUUGAUCCUGGCUCAGGACGAACGCUGGCGGCGUGCUUAACACAUGCAAGUCGAGCGAUGAAGCUUCCUUCGGGAGGUGGA
This 95-nucleotide ribosomal RNA is filed under the name Clostridium botulinum. RNAcentral describes it as "partial 16S ribosomal RNA". It matches the Rfam family "Bacterial small subunit ribosomal RNA", at positions 1 to 91 of the family's 1533-position model. The record is from RNAcentral. Lineage: Bacteria; Bacillati; Bacillota; Clostridia; Eubacteriales; Clostridiaceae.